Molecule: ribosomal RNA, 511 nt
Filed under: uncultured bacterium
Lineage: Bacteria
Description: bacterial SSU rRNA
Rfam family: Bacterial small subunit ribosomal RNA
Source: RNAcentral
GACGAACGCUGGCGGCGUGCCUAACACAUGCAAGUCGAACGGGACCGGGGGCAACUUCGGUUCAGUGGCGGACGGGUGCGUAACACGUGAGGAACAUGACCUUCGGCGGGGGAUAGCCGGCCCAACGGCCGGGUAAUACCGCGUACGACCUUUCGGGGACAUCCCUGGAUGGUGAAAGCAGCAAUGCGCCGAUGGAGUGCCUCGCGGCCUAUCAGCUAGUUGGUGGGGUAACGGCCUACCAAGGCGACGACGGGUAGCUGGUCUGGGAGGAUGGCCAGCCACAUUGGGACUGAGACACGGCCCAGACUCCUACGGGAGGCAGCAGUGGGGAAUAUUGCGCAAUGGACGAAAGUCUGACGCAGCGACGCCGCGUGUGGGAUGACGGUCUUCGGAUUGUAAACCACUGUCGGGAGGGACGAAUACGCCGCAAGGCGGGUGACGGUGCCUCCAAAGGAAGCACCGGCUAACUCCGUGCCAGCAGCCGCGGUAAUACGGAGGGUGCGAGCGUUGU